ACGGGCGGGGCCGUUGUCUGGGGUGGGACUAGGCAAAUAUUACCCUAUGGGGUAGGGUAACAGGAGCGGGCCGCGAGUUGAGGAUAGGUUAUCUCUGUAGGGGCGUGGCUUGUGGGUCCUCGCUUUCCCGCCGACGGUUGGCCACGUCACGUGACAUGGGCUGGAAGAUGGCGUCUCCCACGGACGGGACAGAUUUGGAAGCAUCUUUGCUAAGUUUUGAGAAACUUGACCGAGCCUCGCCAGAUCUUUGGCCGGAACAAUUACCAGGAGUUGCUGAAUUUGCAGCUUCUUUCAAAAGUCCCAUCACUAGCUCUCCACCAAAAUGGAUGGCUGAAAUAGAACGUGAUGACAUCGAUAUGUUGAAAGAGCUGGGGAGCCUCACCACAGCUAAUUUGAUGGAGAAGGUACGAGGCCUCCAGAACCUGGCCUAUCAGCUGGGGCUGGAUGAGUUUUACAGAUGAAAGAGCUGAGACAAAGAGAAGCUACAUGAUUUAUCUGCAAACACCAUCUACCAGAGAGAUGACUAGGGGGAAAUUCCUGAACAUCCUAGAGAAACCCAAGAAGUAGCAGCCGCUCCAGCACAAGUGUCCUGAAGACCACAACCAAGUACCCUUCCCAGUGUCGCUCUGAUGACGCACACAGCGUGCUUCCUGGGGAAAGACUGCCCUUCUCCCCUGCUCCUGGCACUCUGCACCUCUGAGGACAUUUGGCAGCAAGAGAAGAAUCUGUUCUACCCAAGGAUCAUUGCCAUUUCCUGAGUCGGCUCCGUAGCUCUGGGUAUUGGUGACGUAGAGGUCUCAUCAUUCCGAAAGGUCCUUCCCAAAAGUGAUUGAGGAGUCUCAGAACUCCUUCGGUUCUGUAAUGGCAAAGUCAGUAGUGACGUGUCGAUUAGUGGGUUCUGUUGAGUUGUACUUGACCUCUUAAGAAACAUUCAUGACAAGAACAUCAGAGACCAACUACAUUCUGGACCAGACUGCAUCCUGACCUGUGAACUCUACAGAUCUAACGGAUUCUGUGACUUCCAUUCUGAAGGAAACAAUCGUCUUGAAGUGCACAUCUGCUUUUUUACGUCUGUCUCUCCAAUGGUACUCUCUCCCUUAGCACUGUCCAUUCCCCCGCUCCCAGGCCCACUUUGCAGCUCUGACUCCGGACAAGUGGAGCUCUUGUAGUGACUCUCUGGAAUAAAAGGCUCAUGCGGGGUCACCCUGAGUUCUAGACCUCCAGACUAGUGUGAAGGCAACGGAAGGAACUCUGGUUAGUCUCUUACAUUUGUAAGUGAAAAAGUGAGUGUGACCUGGUAGUGGGAGGGCAUGGUUGUAAGAGUUCCCUUUGACUGAAAACAAGAAGCCCCGACUGACUGAGUGUGUGCUGUCGGAUGGUAACAAUGCCUUUUCCCCUUUUCCUCCUCUCAACCACAUAUCAGCUACUCCACUUACAUCAUCCAAACAUACCCAGAGGAGAAUGUGCUGGCUUACAGCAACUCUCACAGAUUAUUUUUGCUACUUGUAUAUGUCUGCUAAAGUCUGAAAAUCUUGCCCAUGGGUAAAAUGGAUUAGACCUAGUCUUUCACAUUUUGAAAAGCGCAGAGAGUUCCCUCAAUAUUAUAGGAAGAAAAGCUCUGUGGCUGUCAUCCACUGGGAGUUUGGACACGGAGAAGCUGUGGCCAAGUCUGUGUCAUGUGUCUAUUAGGGCACAGUACUCUUGAGGUUCACAGCAGGUCCCUUGACCAUUCCCGACACUUGUGCCUAAUGCUUGAGUUGAUGUUGGAUUGUCCCCUUCAUUAGUGCUAUUUGAUCGACACAGUUUUACUUUUUAAAAGGAAAAAGCAAUGAAAUGUGUACCACAAAAGAGAAGUAUGAGAAGAGAAGCAUUCUGCUGGAGUACUCCCUAGAAGGGCCAGUUGAUUUUAAGCUUAAGUCUGUGAUUGACAUUUUUUAUCUCACUAAAUGCGGUUAAAGUGAGUGUAUACGAGUGAUCAGAAAAUAAUGCCAUAUGUCAAAUUUUUUCUUCACUCUGUUUUUGAGAGUUGAUGACAUCAGGCACUUUCAGAGUUUGGGGACAUUGAAAGGUAUGUGGAGAAUACUGGGAUCGCUCCCCAACCAGCUCGUCUGUAAUGGGAAGCCAGUAGUUGGUAUUUGGAACUGCUGUGGCCUCCUCCUUCACUGUCUGUCACCCUGUUCACCAGCACUUAAUUAAUGUAAGUAGACGUUGUAGAAUUGUGAUAUUUAUUGUUUUUGUAUUUGUCAUCCUUAGAAAUGUUAAUGAUGUAUUUUUAUAUUGAUAAUAUAAAUUUAAGUACAGUAUGCAUAUGUAUUUUAGAACGUUAGAGGAUUAUACUUUGUGUAUAAUAUGUCUUCAUAAUAAAUGUGUCCCUUGUA
Molecule: RNA transcript, 2378 nt
Organism: Peromyscus californicus insignis
Lineage: Eukaryota; Metazoa; Chordata; Mammalia; Rodentia; Cricetidae
Gene: Lin52
Gene name: lin-52 DREAM MuvB core complex component
Exons: 7
Source: RefSeq, a predicted model, not a curated record